This 207-nucleotide ribosomal RNA is filed under the name uncultured bacterium. RNAcentral describes it as "partial 16S ribosomal RNA". It matches the Rfam family "Bacterial small subunit ribosomal RNA", at positions 568 to 774 of the family's 1533-position model. The record is from RNAcentral.
UGCGUAGGCGGGUCUUUAAGUCAGAGGUGAAAUCCUGGAGCUCAACUCCAGAACUGCCUUUGAUACUGAAGGUCUUGAGUUCGGGAGAGGUGAGUGGAACUGCGAGUGUAGAGGUGAAAUUCGUAGAUAUUCGCAAGAACACCAGUGGCGAAGGCGGCUCACUGGCCCGAUACUGACGCUGAGGCACGAAAGCGUGGGGAGCAAACA